CCUCGUGUUUCGAGAGGAUCGAGUUGACCUUCUGGAGGUCGGCCGUGGAGGGUUCGCCCUUCAGCUUUGCCAGUUCGGUUACCGUCUUGAGGUC
This 94-nucleotide transfer RNA is filed under the name Streptomyces antimycoticus. RNAcentral describes it as "tRNA-Gln". The record is from RNAcentral. Lineage: Bacteria; Bacillati; Actinomycetota; Actinomycetes; Kitasatosporales; Streptomycetaceae.